GGCUCAGAACGAACGCUGGCGGCGUGCCUAACACAUGCAAGUCGAACGAGAAGUACGUAGCAAUACGUAUUGUAAAGUGGCGCACGGGUGAGUAACACGUGGGUAAUCUGCCCUUGAGUUUGGGAUAACCCCGCGAAAGCGGGGCUAAUACCGAAUAAGACCACGGGGACCAAAGUUCCUGGGGUAAAAGAUGGCCUCUAUUUAUAAGCUAUCACUUGAGGAUGAGCCCGCGGCCCAUUAGCUAGUUGGCAGGGUAACGGCCUACCAAGGCGAUGAUGGGUAGCUGGUCUGAGAGGACGAUCAGCCACACUGGAACUGAGACACGGUCCAGACUCCUACGGGAGGCAGCAGUGGGGAAUAUUGCGCAAUGGGCGAAAGCCUGACGCAGCAACGCCGCGUGGGGGAUGAAGGUUCUCGGAUUGUAAACCCCUUUCGACCGGAACGAAUCCCCUCCUGGUAAAUAAUCAGGAGGAUCGACGGUACCGGGAGAAGAAGCCACGGCUAACUCUGUGCCAGCAGCCGCGGUAAGACAGAGGUGGCGAGCGUUGUUCGGAUUUAUUGGGCGUAAAGCGUACGCAGGCGGUUUGGUAAGUCAGAGGUGAAAGCCCACAGCUUAACUGUGGCACUGCCUUUGAUACUGCCUUUCUAGAGUGCAUGAGGGGGAAGCGGAAUUCCGAGUGUAGAGGUGAAAUUCGUAGAUAUUCGGAGGAACACCGGUGGCGAAGGCGGCUUCCUGGCAUGUAACUGACGCUCAUGUACGAAAGCGUGGGGAGCAAACAGGAUUAGAUACCCUGGUAGUCCACGCCCUAAACGAUGGGCACUAGGUGUGGGAGGUAUCGACCCCUUCCGUGCCGCAGCUAACGCAUUAAGUGCCCCGCCUGGGG
RNAcentral lists this ribosomal RNA (884 nucleotides) under uncultured bacterium. RNAcentral describes it as "bacterial SSU rRNA". It matches the Rfam family "Bacterial small subunit ribosomal RNA", at positions 21 to 878 of the family's 1533-position model. The record is from RNAcentral.